This 918-nucleotide ribosomal RNA is filed under the name Enterococcus sp. H182. RNAcentral's name for it is "bacterial SSU rRNA". It matches the Rfam family "Bacterial small subunit ribosomal RNA", at positions 45 to 937 of the family's 1533-position model. Lineage: Bacteria; Bacillati; Bacillota; Bacilli; Lactobacillales; Enterococcaceae. The record is from RNAcentral.
UGCUAUACUGCAGUCGAACGCUUCUUUCCUCCCGAGUGCUUGCACUCAAUUGGAAAGAGGAGUGGCGGACGGGUGAGUAACACGUGGGUAACCUACCCAUCAGAGGGGGAUAACACUUGGAAACAGGUGCUAAUACCGCAUAACAGUUUAUGCCGCAUGGCAUAAGAGUGAAAGGCGCUUUCGGGUGUCGCUGAUGGAUGGACCCGCGGUGCAUUAGCUAGUUGGUGAGGUAACGGCUCACCAAGGCCACGAUGCAUAGCCGACCUGAGAGGGUGAUCGGCCACACUGGGACUGAGACACGGCCCAGACUCCUACGGGAGGCAGCAGUAGGGAAUCUUCGGCAAUGGACGAAAGUCUGACCGAGCAACGCCGCGUGAGUGAAGAAGGUUUUCGGAUCGUAAAACUCUGUUGUUAGAGAAGAACAAGGACGUUAGUAACUGAACGUCCCCUGACGGUAUCUAACCAGAAAGCCACGGCUAACUACGUGCCAGCAGCCGCGGUAAUACGUAGGUGGCAAGCGUUGUCCGGAUUUAUUGGGCGUAAAGCGAGCGCAGGCGGUUUCUUAAGUCUGAUGUGAAAGCCCCCGGCUCAACCGGGGAGGGUCAUUGGAAACUGGGAGACUUGAGUGCAGAAGAGGAGAGUGGAAUUCCAUGUGUAGCGGUGAAAUGCGUAGAUAUAUGGAGGAACACCAGUGGCGAAGGCGGCUCUCUGGUCUGUAACUGACGCUGAGGCUCGAAAGCGUGGGGAGCAAACAGGAUUAGAUACCCUGGUAGUCCACGCCGUAAACGAUGAGUGCUAAGUGUUGGAGGGUUUCCGCCCUUCAGUGCUGCAGCAAACGCAUUAAGCACUCCGCCUGGGGAGUACGACCGCAAGGUUGAAACUCAAAGGAAUUGACGGGGGCCCGCACAAGCGGUGGAG